UUUUUCGGCAACAUGAUUUCU
RNAcentral lists this microRNA (21 nucleotides) under Citrus sinensis (sweet orange). Its description in RNAcentral is "csi-miR3950". Lineage: Eukaryota; Viridiplantae; Streptophyta; Magnoliopsida; Sapindales; Rutaceae. The record is from miRBase by way of RNAcentral.